RNAcentral lists this ribosomal RNA (250 nucleotides) under uncultured bacterium. RNAcentral's name for it is "partial 16S ribosomal RNA". It matches the Rfam family "Bacterial small subunit ribosomal RNA", at positions 524 to 773 of the family's 1533-position model. The record is from RNAcentral.
UACAGAGGAUGCAAGCGUUAUCCGGAAUGAUUGGGCGUAAAGCGUCCGCAGGUGGUUUUAUAAGUCUGCUGUUAAAGCGUGUGGCUCAACCACAUACAGGCAGUGGAAACUAUAAGACUAGAGUAUGUUAGGGGUAGAGGGAAUUCCCAGUGUAGCGGUGAAAUGCGUAGAGAUUGGGAAGAACACCGGUGGCGAAAGCGCUCUGCUAGGACAAUACUGACACUGAGGGACGAAAGCUAGGGGAGCGAAU